This 474-nucleotide ribosomal RNA is filed under the name uncultured bacterium. RNAcentral's name for it is "bacterial SSU rRNA". It matches the Rfam family "Bacterial small subunit ribosomal RNA", at positions 335 to 799 of the family's 1533-position model. The record is from RNAcentral.
ACUCCUACGGGAGGCAGCAGUGGGGAAUAUUGCACAAUGGGCGCAAGCCUGAUGCAGCCAUGCCGCGUGUGUGAAGAAGGCCUUCGGGUUGUAAAGCACUUUCAGUCGUGAGGAAGGUAGUGUAGUUAAUAGCUGCAUUAUUUGACGUUAGCGACAGAAGAAGCACCGGCUAACUCCGUGCCAGCAGCCGCGGUAAUACGGAGGGUGCGAGCGUUAAUCGGAAUUACUGGGCGUAAAGCGCAUGCAGGUGGUUUGUUAAGUCAGAUGUGAAAGCCCGGGGCUCAACCUCGGAAUAGCAUUUGAAACUGGCAGACUAGAGUACUGUAGAGGGGGGUAGAAUUUCAGGUGUAGCGGUGAAAUGCGUAGAGAUCUGAAGGAAUACCGGUGGCGAAGGCGGCCCCCCUGGACAGAUACUGACACUCAGAUGCGAAAGCGUGGGGAGCAAACAGGAUUAGACACCCUGGUAGCACAGAG